Molecule: ribosomal RNA, 253 nt
Filed under: uncultured bacterium
Lineage: Bacteria
Description: partial 16S ribosomal RNA
Rfam family: Bacterial small subunit ribosomal RNA
Source: RNAcentral
UACGUAGGGCGCAAGCGUUAUCCGGAAUUAUUGGGCGUAAAGAGCUCGUAGGCGGUUUGUCGCGUCUGCCGUGAAAGCCCGGGGCUCAACUCCGGAUCUGCGGUGGGUACGGGCAGACUAGAGUGAUGUAGGGGAGACUGGAAUUCCUGGUGUAGCGGUGAAAUGCGCAGAUAUCAGGAGGAACACCGAUGGCGAAGGCAGGUCUCUGGGCCGAUACUGACGCUGAGAAGCGAAAGCAUGGGGAGCGAACAGG